GACGAACGCUGGCGGCGUGCCUAAUACAUGCAAGUAGAACGCUGAAGGAGGAGCUUGCUCUUCUGGAUGAGUUGCGAACGGGUGAGUAACGCGUAGGUAACCUGCCUGGUAGCGGGGGAUAACUAUUGGAAACGAUAGCUAAUACCGCAUAACAGUAGAUGUUGCGUGACAUUUACUUAAAAGGUGCAAUUGCAUCACUACCAGAUGGACCUGCGUUGUAUUAGCUAGUUGGUGGGGUAACGGCACACCAAGGCGACGAUACAUAGCCGACCUGAGAGGGGGAACAGCCCCACUGGGACCGAGACACGGCCCAGACUCCUACGGGAGGCAGCAGUAGGGAAUCUUCGGCAAUAGACGGCAGUCUGACCGAGCCACGCCGCGUGAGUGAAGAAGGGUUUCGGAUCGUAAAGCUCUGUUGUAAGAGAAGAACGAGUGUCAGAGUGGAAAGUUCACACUGUGACGGUAUCUUACCAGAAAGGGACGGCUAACUACGUG
RNAcentral lists this ribosomal RNA (495 nucleotides) under uncultured bacterium. RNAcentral's name for it is "partial 16S ribosomal RNA". It matches the Rfam family "Bacterial small subunit ribosomal RNA", at positions 28 to 507 of the family's 1533-position model. The record is from RNAcentral.